AUGCAUUUUCUUCUUCUUCUUCAAAUUCAGAUUCAGAGGUCGAGGAAGCCGGUCUGGUGGAGCACGGCGUUGCGGACGCAGCAGAGGUCACGGCCCUUGAGCGUCCGCCCGGCGCCCUCCAGCACCGACGACGACCGCGCGUGCCGCCGCGCCACCACCACGUGCGGCGGCACCAUCUCCUCCCCGCGUCGGACUCCUCUGCCUCCCUGGCGCCGCACUUCACGUUCUCACCGGCCGCCUGCCCCGGCCAUACCGGCGUCGACUGCCUCGGUGUCGCGGCACCGUGACCCGGCCUCGGAGGCACGGCCAGGGCUCCAUGUCGUCCCCGCCCUCGACGAGGAGCAACGACAGCCCGAAGCUCUACGGCACGGCGUGCGUCGAGCGACGCCGCGUGCUGGCACUGGCGCUGGCGCGUCGCGGGGUCACCACCGCCUCGGCCACCGGCGCGGCCGUCCACCCGUCCACGUCCCCGCCGCCGCUGCAGGAAGCUGGUGCCGCUGCAAGAAGUUCAAAUGUCAUAGCAGCGGCCGGACGGAUUUGACGCACGGUGCUCCCUCCCACAAAGUGGUUGUUGCUAGACGAGGAAUCAAACUCGCCUCCGCUGCUCCAUUUGGAUGGCAUGCCACACCCUUUUUUUUGGAGACUUCAUUCUAA
RNAcentral lists this ribosomal RNA (654 nucleotides) under Triticum aestivum (bread wheat). Its description in RNAcentral is "partial small subunit ribosomal RNA". Lineage: Eukaryota; Viridiplantae; Streptophyta; Magnoliopsida; Poales; Poaceae. The record is from RNAcentral.